Molecule: ribosomal RNA, 406 nt
Filed under: uncultured bacterium
Lineage: Bacteria
Description: partial 16S ribosomal RNA
Rfam family: Bacterial small subunit ribosomal RNA
Source: RNAcentral
AUUGAACGCUGGCGGCAGGCCUAACACAUGCAAGUCGAACGAGUGGCGGACGGGUGAGUAAUGUCUGGGAAACUGCCUGAUGGAGGGGGAUAACUACUGGAAACGGUAGCUAAUACCGCAUACCAUCAGAGGUGCCCAGAUGGGAUUGGCUUGUUGGUGGGGUAACAGCUCACCAUGGCGACGAUCCCUAGCUGGUCUGAGAGGAUGACCAGCCACACGGGAACUGAGACACAGCCCCGGUUCCGACGAGAGUCAUCCGUGGCGAAUGGUGCACAAUGGGCGCGAGCCUGGUGCAGCCCUACCGCGUGUAUGAAGAAGGCCUUCGGGUUGUAAAGUACUGUCAGCGGAGAGGCGUUGCCCGCAGAAGGAGCACCGGCUAACUCCGUGCCAGCCGCCGCGGUAAUUC